GACGAACGCUGGCGGCGUGCUUAACACAUGCAAGUCGAACGGAAAGGCCCUGCUUUUGUGGGGUGCUCGAGUGGCGAACGGGUGAGUAACACGUGAGUAACCUGCCCUUGACUUUGGGAUAACUUCAGGAAACUGGGGCUAAUACCGGAUAGGAGCUCCUGCUGCAUGGUGUGGGUUGGAAAGUUUCGGCGGUUGGGGAUGGACCCGCGGCGUAUCAGCUUGUUGGUGGGGUAGUGGCUUACCAAGGCUUUGACGGGUAGCCGGCCUGAGAGGGUGACCGGGCACAUUGGGACUGGGAUACGGCCCAGACUCCUACGGGAGGCAGCAGUGGGGAAUAUUGCACGAUGGGCGGAAGCCUGAUGCAGCAACGCCGCGUGCGGGAUGACGGCCGUCGGGUUGUAAACCGCUUUCGCCUGUGACGAAGCGUGAGUGACGGUAAUGGGUAAAGAAGCACCGGCUAACUACGUG
This 468-nucleotide ribosomal RNA is filed under the name uncultured bacterium. RNAcentral describes it as "partial 16S ribosomal RNA". It matches the Rfam family "Bacterial small subunit ribosomal RNA", at positions 28 to 507 of the family's 1533-position model. The record is from RNAcentral.